GGGGCGACCCCGGGGUUCGCGCGGGAGGUAGAGUCGGGCCGGGCCGAGGGCGCCAGAAGCCCCUCGCUCGGUCUCGGUCGGGAACGCUGGUAGCGGCCGCAGGGUCGGCCUUUUCCACGCGCGAGUGGAAGGACCGCAGAAAUACAGCUCAGUUCCACGGUGUGGGCCAGCAACUUUCCCAGCACUUAGUUUGACUACGGAUGCGGUAUUUACACUGCUUUGACUAGAUCAGAGUCUAAGAGAGAUGGAGGUUUUAAAAAUAAUUGGAGCUUUGAUCAUGAAGAAGAAAAUGAAGGAGAUACAAAUAAAGAUGGAGCAAAUCUGCUCAGUGUAGAAGAUGAUAAGGAUUCUGAAACCUCAAAAGGAAAAAAGGCAAGUGUUGCUUACAAAAUUUUUUUAAAGUUACAUACUAAAAAUUUCCACCUUGAAACACGAUGUUUUUAAACUGUAAGCCCAACC
This 459-nucleotide long non-coding RNA is filed under the name Fukomys damarensis (Damara mole-rat). Its description in RNAcentral is "lncRNA (ENSFDAG00000028162.1)". The record is from RNAcentral. Lineage: Eukaryota; Metazoa; Chordata; Mammalia; Rodentia; Bathyergidae.